Molecule: ribosomal RNA, 301 nt
Filed under: uncultured bacterium
Lineage: Bacteria
Description: partial 16S ribosomal RNA
Rfam family: Bacterial small subunit ribosomal RNA
Source: RNAcentral
CAGUAGCCGCGGUAAUACGAAGGGGGCUAGCGUUGUUCGGAAUUACUGGGCGUAAAGCGCACGUAGGCGGAUAUUUAAGUCAGGGGUGAAAUCCCAGAGCUCAACUCUGGAACUGCCUUUGAUACUGGGUAUCUUGAGUAUGGAAGAGGUGAGUGGAAUUCCGAGUGUAGAGGUGAAAUUCGUAGAUAUUCGGAAGAACACCAGUGGCGAAGGCGGCUUACUGGCUCAUUCUAGACGCUGAGGUGCGAAAGCGUGGGGAGCAAACAGGAUUAGAUACCCCGGUAGUCCCUGUCUCUUAUAC